AUUAUGUGUAUCAGUCUGGUGAAAUGUGGCUGAGGUUGGAAGUCUUGGUGAUGUAACCAAGAUGAGGUCAGUAAAAAUGCAUGCAGUUUAUAUGCAACCAGAGGCCUCCUACACAAGUGCAAACAGGGGAAUAUGACACCUCAAAUGGCUGCUGCUUUUGUUUCUACAGUAGUAGUGAAACACGGGUAAGGUGUAAACCAUAGUAGUGAAGGUGCUGAUCCAGCAAACAGUUAAUUCCCAUGGCUGUCUACUGAAGUCAAAGAUAGUAAUCAUACUGCUCAUUGCAAGAGGUAUGAAAGAAGAAUCCUGUCUGCACAAGAUUUAUGGCUGGGAGAAAUUGCACUCUAUCUCUUCCUGUUCACCCCAGCCUUUUGGGAAGAACCUACACAGAGUAAGUGGAGCUCUUUUCCAGUCAUCUAUUUAGAUUGGAAGGCCUCAUGGUUUUCUUGGAAAGCAAUCACUUAUAAAGUCCCCCUGCAGAAUGUUGUUGAGACCUAUGCUGUGGAAAUUAUUGAUAUAAUAAUAUUCAACCGAUUUGUAAAGGCCUAGCGGGGGAAGGCAUAAAGAGCCUUAGUCUGACAUUUAGAAUUAAUUCCAGGAAAGACAUCUCUCCUCAGAGAUAUAUGAGAAGCCGAUGUUACACACUUGCAGUCAUAGUAAAUGUACAGGACCUGGACAGCUGAAAGAAUUGUGUAAUCAAAAGCUCAUUGAAUGCUGUGGAAAACUUCCUAUCGGCUUCAGAGCUGAAAUACUGAAUUUAUUUCUCGUCUAAAACAAUGGAAGGAAUUAAUAACUAGAGAAGGGCUUGCAGCCUCUGCACAGAAAUGUAAUGGAUUCAGCCUCACCAUGUCUUUUGUUACUCAAUUGAUACAUUUUUAUUUGGGAGAUCAGUCCUCAGAGUGUCUAUGCAACUUACUUCUUCAAGGGAGUUAAAAAAAUACAUUUUUUAAUAAAUGUGCCACUUUAUGACUAAUGACCAAGUUGGACUAAUGACCAAGUUGGACUAAUGACCACCAACUUCCAUCCCAACCUGAUUUCCUUUUCCUGUUCAUUAUUGAACAUGCAUUGAUGAACCCAGGAAGGCCCACAGAACUCCUGAAGCUCAGCAUGGUUUGGCCUCUGCCCAUCUGCUUUUUGUGAUCUAUCCUGUGGUGAUUGGUACCAGAAUAAGAAUCUCAGGCUGCUCUUAAAUAAAGCAGGUCAAGUCAUGUUCUCUGGCCCUAAGAACUGGGUUAAGGUUAGGAUGCUGUUCUGGCAAGCAGAACAGCAUCCACAUGGCUAAACCCCUCUUCCCACCCUCCGCAGGUAAUGUAACAUCUAUUAAUCUGUAUGAACCACUCUGUGCAGUAGUUAAGUCUGGAUAUUAAGUAUGGAUGUGCUUGGGUUACUAACGUAGCCAGAGCUGCAGAUAAGUGGAGGAACACCAGGACUGCCAUUUCCACUGGAAGUGAAUUUGAAAUGUGAUCUUAGUCCGUGAACAUGCCCACCACAGGGAACUGACAACACCAUGACAGUGUGUUUGUUUAGAAUUAUCUUAAUUGAUGCUGAAACUAUACAUUGCUUCCUGUUUAUACAACCUCCAAUAAUGUUGAAAGAUCAAAUACAAUAAACUAGCCUGGCAAUUUUCAAAAGCUGUCACAGAAUAUAACAGAAAUGACUGAGAUGAAUGUGCUUUCAACUUCCAUGAAAAAUAAAUGUAUAUGUAACACAUCACUCCACCGUCUAUGGAAAACUGUCCAUGGAUGCUUUUUGUUCUAUGGAAAUGUGACUUCCUCUUAAACUGUCAUGAAGCCUGGGAACCUCAAACAAUU
Long non-coding RNA from Hirundo rustica (Barn swallow), 1811 nucleotides. RefSeq lists it as uncharacterized. The record is from RefSeq and is a predicted model, not a curated record. The transcript is spliced from 3 exons. Lineage: Eukaryota; Metazoa; Chordata; Aves; Passeriformes; Hirundinidae.